Molecule: ribosomal RNA, 439 nt
Filed under: uncultured bacterium
Lineage: Bacteria
Description: partial 16S ribosomal RNA
Rfam family: Bacterial small subunit ribosomal RNA
Source: RNAcentral
CUACGGGACGCACCAGUGGGGAAUUUUGCGCAAUGGGGGAAACCCUGACGCAGCAAUACCGCGUGAGUGAAGAAGGCCUUUGGGUCGUAAAGCUCUUUUCUGAGGGAAGAUAGUGACGGUACCUCAGGAAUAAGCACCGGCUAACUCCGUGCCAGCAGCCGCGGUAAUACGGAGGGUGCAAGCGUUGUUCGGAUUUACUGGGCGUAAAGGGCACGUAGGCGGCACAGCAAGUUAAGGGUGAAAUCCCGGGGCUCAACUCCGGAACUGCUCUUAAAACUGCUGAGCUAGAGAUAGUCAGAGGCGGGUGGAAUUCCAGGUGUAGAGGUGAAAUUCGUAGAUAUCUGGAGGAACACCGGUGGCGAAGGCGGCCCGCUGGGGCUAUUCUGACGCUAAGGUGCGAAAGCGUGGGGAGCGAACGGGAUUAGAUACCCCUGUAGUC